AAUGUGUUGGUUUGACGGCGAUGGUGUCAACCUCAAAAUCCAAGUCUGUCACAGAAUUGCGUGUACACCGACACAGUGUUGCAUUGACACCGAUAUAAUGUUGAAUUGACACCGAUGGUGUCAAUCUGAUGUCGAAAGCUCUUACGCGUACAAGUUUUAACAUGCCGCAAGUCCUUAGCCCGCAGUCAGAGAAGCUCAGUUUCCUCCACGCGCGCUUACAAGCAGUCGCUUCGCAUUUCAGUGCGCAGCAAGCAGCAAAUGUGCAGGAUGCACCGGAUAGUGGUGACAUUGUUACCGGGACAUCUUUCCAGUUGCGAAAGGGACGAUACAACGGGGAGACUAAAUGGAUAAAAGUGCUCACUCCCAAUGGCAAGCCCUUGGAAUAGAAUGAUUUUAUUAUUACAGAAAAUAUUCUAUGACCCUGAAGGCCGGUCAGGUUACAUCUCCUGGAGACUGCGCACCCUCAAUAGACGUCGUCAGGUGCCAAGUAAAGAAGUUAAAAUUGAGCAGAAAGAAAACGUUCGAC
This 526-nucleotide long non-coding RNA is filed under the name Neodiprion lecontei (redheaded pine sawfly). RNAcentral describes it as "uncharacterized LOC124295371". The record is from RNAcentral. Lineage: Eukaryota; Metazoa; Arthropoda; Insecta; Hymenoptera; Diprionidae.